This 21361-nucleotide long non-coding RNA is filed under the name Triticum aestivum (bread wheat). RNAcentral describes it as "long non-coding RNA (TAES_LNC021153)". Lineage: Eukaryota; Viridiplantae; Streptophyta; Magnoliopsida; Poales; Poaceae. The record is from RNAcentral.
ACGUGUCGGAGCACGACUUAGAGGCAUAACCGCAUUGUAGACAUGUCGCAAGUGAGGUAAUCUUCACACAACCCAUGUAAUACAUAAGGGAAAGAGAUACAUAGUUGGCUUACAAUCGCCACUUCACACAAUAACAUAAAUAAAUCAUUACAUCAACCAGAUACAAUCAAGGUCCGACUAUCGAACCAAAAUAAAAGAAGACUACCCCAAAUGCUACACAGAUCCCCAAUCAUCCCAACUGGGCUCCACUACUGAUCAACUGAAACGAAACAACACUACGAACAAGGUCUUCAUCGAGCUCCUCCUUGAGCUCGGUUGCGUCACCUAUACGGUAUCAUCGAGCACCUGCAAACUAGUUUUGGAAGUAUCUGUGAGUCAUGGGGGCUCAGCAAUCUCACACCCUCGCGAUCAAGACUAUUUAAGCUUAUAGGUAGGGUAAAAGGUAUGUGAGGUGGAGCUGCAGCAAGCACUAGCAUAUAUGGUGGCUAACAUACGCAAAUGAGAGCGAGAAGAGAAAGCAAAGGCAUGGUCGAGAAACUAUGAUCAAGAAGUGAUCCUGAAACUACUUAAGUUCAAGCAUAACUCCAACACCGUGUUCACUUCCCGGACUCCGCCGGAAAGAGACCAUCACGGCUACACACGCGGUUGAUGCAUUUUAAUUAAGAUAAGUUUCAGGUUUUCUACAAUCGGACAUUAACAAAUUCCCAUCCGCCCAUAACCGCGGGCACGGCUUUCGGAAGUUCAAAACCCUGCAAGGGUGUCCCAACUUAGCCCAUCAUAUUCCUUCUCCCAGGAGGACCCAAUCAGGCUCGGAAUCCCGGUUACAAGAGAUUUCGACAAUGGUAAAACAAGACCAGCAAAGCCACCCAGAUGUGUCGACAAAUCCCGAUAGGAGCUGCACAUAUCUCGUUCUCAGGGCACACCGGAUGAGCCAUACGUCGGGUUGGCCAACCCAGAGUUGCCCCUGGAAGCUCCAGACAUCGCUCAGUUAGACCAACACUUAGAGAAGCACUGGCCCGGGGGGGUGGGGUUAAAAUAAAGAUGACCCUUGAGCUGGCCGACCCAAGGGAAAGAAAAGGCUAGGUGGCAAAUGGUAAAACCAAUGUUGGGCCUUGCUAGAGGAGUUUUAUUCAAGGCGAACUGUCAAGGGGUUCCCAUUAUAACCCAACCGCAUAAGGAACGCAAAAUCAAGGAACAUAACACCGGUAUGACGGAAACUAGGGCGGCAAGAGUGGAACAGAACACCAGGCAUAAGGCCGAGCCUUCCGCCCUUUACCAAGUAUAUAGAUGCAUUAAGUAAAUACGAUAUAUUGUGAUAUCCCAACAAUAAACAUGUUCCAACAAGGAACAAACUCCAAUCUUCACCUGCAACUAGCAACGCUAUAAGAGGGGCUGAGCAAAGCGGUAACAUAGCCAAACAACGGUUUGCUAGGACAAGGUGGGUUAGAGGCUUGACAUGGCAAUAUGGGAGGCACGAUAUAGCAAGUGGUAGGUAUCGCGGCAUAGGCAAAGCAAAAGAGUGAGUAACUAGCAAGCAAAGAUAGAAGUGAUUUCGAGGGUAUGGUCAUCUUGCCUGAGAUCCCGCAAGGAAGAAGAACGAGUCCAUGAAGAAUACAAACGAACGCAGAUGAACGGAUCCUCACAAACAUCACGUUAUCAGAACUAACCCGAAGAAGCAACACCGGAAAGAAGCAAACAACAUAGUAAACAACCAACACAUAAACAUGGCCUGAUGCACAACCAAGUAUGAUGCAUGUCCGGUUUAAAUAGGCAUGGCAUGGCAAAGGGCACAAACAAAACUACAAGUUAAGUGGAGCUCAAUAUGCAACGAGUUGCAUAUUGACGGAACACCACAUCAAUUAUUUAGUUCUCUCUCCUUUAGGUACUCAACAAUAUUAAAUGUUGGUUAACAUGACAAGAGGUGAAGCAUAACAAAACUAUACCAUUUAAACAAUUUAAAUGGGGCCGGAUAUAACAAACAACAAAUCUGGUAAAUCCCCAUAUGCAUUAGCAAUUUAAUGCAACAACAAUUUUAAACAUUUUAAAUGUUGUUAUCAUGAUGCGGAUGACAUGUGCAAGUUUAUGCAAUUUUUAUUAAAAGUUGACAAGAGCAUUAUGAAGCAUUUGUCACCGUGGUGGAAAGAAAAGGGGUGCCACGGCAACGAUAACGAAAACGGUGCCACGACAACGUUCCGGUUCCGGUAACUCGAUUGAGAUACCGAUGCAAAGGAGAAGUGUGCGGAUGCGUGCAAAAGAUGGUGUGGCACUCCCGGAUACCGGGUGUCCCAUGAGUCGACGAUGGUGGCAAGGCAAAAGAGGGGCAACGUGCACCGACGAUUCGAGCACGGAGCAAGCACGAGCAUCUCAUACAUCACACCUGCAUUCGUUCACGGGCGGUCGUCUCAGGGUUAUACCUUCGGAGCGUGCAAAGGGGACGGUUCUCGUUCGUAGAGGGAAGUAGGCGUUCUCGCGACGGCGGUAGUGGAAGUAGUCGUUCUCGCAUGCUCUAGGGUCGACGGUAGAGGUUCUCACGAUCUCGGCGAGGAUAGUUGGACACGUUUUGUAGGGGAAGUAGAGGUUCACGUUUCGUAGUCGUUUGGGGUCGCUGAUAGUUGUACAAAUUCAUUGUUGGACUUGACGGAUCCGAUGCCUCCGGACAUAGUGGUACAUGUUCGUUUUUUCGGAGAGGUACUUGGCAUUCUUCGGUCAUAGGUACUUGACGUUUUGCUACCCGGGUCUUCGGCGACGGUCAUUGUACACAUGGCGUUGGGGUACUUGUCAGUCCGGUCUUGACGGUCUCGUUUUUGUGACGGUAGUCGUACUAGUCGGCGGUUGUGGAACUUGACAAAAUGCACGUCGACGGUAGUUGUUCUCGUAUCAUCGCGGUACUUGGUGAUAUUUGUGCGUAGAGGUACUUGGCAGCCUCGUGUAAACGAACUUGAGGUACUCCGGGGCAGAGGAAUCAACGUGGCAACGGUGGUCUCGACAUAUCCAGAUCGCAGCAAGGCCAAGGGGCCUCACGCACCGCAAAUCGAGGCAGCGGCGGCGGGGCUUGGGGCUGACGAAGAGGAUCCUGGCGAGGACGACGUUCUCCAGCGAGGUGGCGACGGACUUGGGGUGCAGGGGUGUCGAGGUGCUGAGCUGCAGCUGUUCGCUGCAGAGAGAGACAACCAGGGGACGCGAGGAGGCCAGGAAGACGGGGAGGUCGAGGAGGGUGGCGCUGCAGCAGGGUGUGGCGGCUGGGUUCUUGCCGGAGGAGGACCGAGCAACAGGCGAGCAGAGGAGGCGGGGUUGGCGCCUGAGUUGUCCUCCUCUCCAUGGCUUUGGACGACGAUGAAGAUGAAAGUCAGGGCACCGCGAGCGGAUGCACUGGUGUUGGAACUUGGCGCGGAAGACGACGAGGGGCUCCAGGAAGGAGAUGGCGGCGGGCAGAAGCACGGGUCCGGGCGGUGGAGGUAGCAGGCCGGCGGCGACGGGUGCUGGGGCUUCAACCUACUCACUCCCCUGCUUGGUGCAGGAGCCUGCGCCUGAGAUCAAAGGCAGGAGAGGCGCGAUGCAGGGUUUGCAAGGGAGCGGGGCCGAGCGAGGGGAAGGAGGAGCAUGGGGGAUCGAGAGCAAGGAGAGGAAUGGGGGAUCGAGCGGGUGGCAUCGGGCACGGACGCUCCUAGCAGCGUGAGGAGGGAGACGAGGAGGGGAUCGGCCAGAGAGGGAGGUUUCGGUCGGACGGCUAGGGUUAGCAGCGUUAGGUGGGCUUGGGGCCAGCCCAGUAGAGAGGAGGGGUCAGCUGGGCUUGCUGGAAUGGGCUCUCCCUCUCCUCUCUUUCUUCUUUAAUCGAAAAGAAAAUAGAGAGAGGGGGAAAAGAAGGGGGGUUAGGGAAAAAGAGUUUGAGAAAGAGGACAAUUUUUCUAGACUCAUAAAAAUAAACAUGACCACAGAAAAAAUAGAAGUGACAAGAUUGCAGGAAUUAAAUUCAAAUUCAUUUGAAUAUAAUUCAAAUGGUUUUGAAUUGGGACUAGGUUCGGUGAGGCCAAAAAUGUUCGGGUUUUUGGUGGAGCUCUGGAAUAUGAUGAAAGAAUAUAUGGCAAUGUUGAAGACCAAGAAUUAAAAUAACAACGACAUUGGGAUAUUUUGCAAGUGUGUUUAUGGGUGAAUCCAAAUUAUUGGAAUAUUUAAUAUAGCUCCCUAAUAUGGGAGCAUAUGUUAUAUAGAGAAAUCACCAUGUGAGUUCCCUCGAUUUAAAUGGACCGAAGAUCCAUGCAAUUUAUUUAGUUGAUUUGAGAUGCAAAAAUUAAUGACAUGAUGGCAUGAUGACAUGAUGCAAAGAUGAAUGCAACAGAUGAAACAAAACACACAACGAAACCCGGAAACCCUGGAAGGCAUCUGCAGCUCCGGUCUUGGGGCGUUACAAUACUCCACCACUACGAGAGGAUCUCGUCCCGAGAUCUAGAAUGGCACCGGAGGGAAACGGAAGAGAAAAGAGAAGAGGUAAAACUAAGUUGCUUCUUUGACUAAUGAGUGAAACCAUGAAACUUGAGAGGUUGAACAAAUUUGAAAGAAAGAAUACAACGAAGAUGAACAGAGUUGAAAACACUCCAUUAAAAAAGAGGAACAAGGGAGAACAAAUUCGAGCAGCACCCCGGUUGAGAAGUUAUGCCAGACUUGAUAAGAUGAAAAGAACUUGAGCAGAGGACAUAACACUCCGGUUAAAUGGAUAAGCACGAAAAAAACAAGAUCCUGACAAGAACAAGAAGAAGGUUUGCAGAGAGCAACCUCACAAUGCCUCCGGAAGAAAUGAGAGGUUGGAAUGGAAUGAACGGAGGAGUAACAAUAUCUUCUACCGCAAAUGAGCUUGAAAGCAGCUUUAGGAGAAGGGUCGAACGGAGUUGUUGGAAAACCAACAACGAAAAGAAUAAGCUUGAUGUGGUCUUAUGGAAUACAUCUCAAACUAUGAGGUGACGACCUGCCACUCACGGGAAAAAAAAUUGGAUUGAUAUGAACAAGAAGACAAGAAAGUUAUUUCACCGGGAGGAUAGAUGAAGAACUUGGGUCAUUUAUAAGCACGAUAAAUAGCAACAAUCCUUAGGGAAAGCUUUAGGUGAAAUGUAACCCAAGAUAACUCCAAUGAAGAGAUUGAUGGAUUUAAGAUACCUCAUUCUUGUGAAUGAAGAAUGAUAUAUUACCACCUCAAAAGAUAAGGGAGAACAAUUGCACUCUGAAUUGCAAGAAGAAGAAAGCUUGAGCUCCUCUGAAAAGAAUCACGAAGAACACUUCGAGAAGGAAUUAAAUCCUUGAUGAACCAUCAUGUAGCGCCUCCAUGAAGAACUCCGGUAAACGAAAGGAUGACAAAAGAAAGAGAAGUUGAGAAUAUAAGGUGAAGCCUUGAAAUGAUUAAAUGGAGCUUUGCGACGAGAUAAAUGAGAGAUCUUGAAACUCCGGGAAAAGAAAAGAUGAAACAAUUGAAAUCAAGAAGUUGAUGAGCCUCCGGAAUAAGGAAUUAAUCACUUGGAUGAAACAAGAAUAAGAAUUGCAUUAUGCUUAUCCUUCACCAAUUAAAUUGAUGACAAGCAACGGAUUUUUGCAUACUACUUAUUCUCGUUGAAAAGGAUCAACAGAGGUAUAGCAUAAAUUUGAGAAGGUCUUCAACAAACCAGCGGUAGGAUUGGAAAGAACGAGUGACUUGAUACGGUAACAAAAGAAGAGAUCUCUUGAAUGAACCACCGUAAGAAUUGAAAAUGAACGAAGGAAAGAUAAAGAAACACCGGGUAUAAUUAGCAAAUGAACGAAGAUGCUUGCUAGGAUUUAGAUACAUGAGAGCGAAGAGAUCUUGAAUUGAUUAGAGAAUAUUUGAAUGAUGCACCGGUAAGAUUGGGAGAAACGGGAGCUGAAAGCUAGAAUGAAUAAUUCUGAGAUCAUGGGCUCCAGAGAAUCAAACUGAAAAUACUCUGAAUUACUCCGGAUGGGUGAAAAGAAUAUCUCGCAAUCGAAAAACAAUUAUGAGAGUAUGACAUUUAAGCUAAAACCAUGAAUCUUGAAGAGAAAGGAGCAAGAUUGAGAGAAAAAACUUCUUCGGUCUUCAAAUGUUGAUCAUGACGAUGCGAAACACCAACAAGAGUUAUUAAGAUACUCCGGGGUAAUGAAAAGCGAAGGGGUUGAGCCAAACGAUGAAAAGAAUUUGAAAGAUCUUGGAGAAAAGCAUUUGACUGAUGAAAAAUUCAUUCUUACGUCAAGCUUUGAAAUGAAUUUGUGAACAACUCCGGGAAGAUUAGAAGAGUAAGGUAAGAUCCUGGGAAAAGACCUGUGGGUUAGGGCCCACUGAAAAGAAACACCGUUGAACGAUUACUUGAAAGAUAUUGCACCGGUUGAUUUAAAUGGCUUGAAUGAGACAACAUUCUCGAAAGAUCUUGAAUGAAUCUAGAAUGACAAGACUAGCCUUCUGAGAUAUCUUCAGCACUCCGGAACAAUUAAAUAGUGAGAAGUGGAAUGAUAAUAAGGUGCACCGGCAUGGAAAACAUUUGAAACGAGUUAAAGGAUAUGACUAACACCAAAAGCUUGAAUUGAAUCCGCCGGAGAAGAAAAAGAAUGACGAAUGAUGAACUUGAAGCUCCGUUAGAAUCUUCAUGAGAAACAUCAGAUUAGAAUAUUGACGGAAAAGAAUGGAGAGACUUCAAAUGAAUAAGAUGGAUACUUGAUUAAGAUAUAUGAGUCCUUGAAGAAACAAGGGUGGGAGGGCGGGAAAACAAAGACAACUUGGAGACGGAUGAAACAAACACCGUUGAGAAGACUUGGAGUUGAUCUUGCGAAUGUUGAAAUGAACGUAUCCACUUGAAGAGAAACACGCCGGUUGAAAAGGAUUGACAAGACAGUCUCGAUUAUCAUGAAGGAUUAGUAUUCACAUAGGAACAUGAGAACACCGCUUAGGAAAGGUAUUGUCACAUCCCUAGUUCUAGUACGACCUAGGCUAGCCUUCAUGUGUUGCAUCAUGUUUAAAUUUCAUUUAAAUUUGAAAUGGGGAUUUGUAAAACCCUCAGAGAUCAUUUCUGGAAAUGACCCAGAUAAAAAUUGCUCCAAAAGGGUCCAAGAAAAUGUUCAUGUCUCUCUCUGAAAAUACUGGGCAGAGGUAAAAUUCAAACCAAUAUUUUUAGGAGCUCAUAAAUAUUUAUUUUGGCCAUUUGGAAUUAAUCCAGUAAUUAUUUGCGUUGGAUAAAUAUUUUUUAUAUAUAUAAAAUAUUGUCCAAUAAUUCUGAAUUUUGGUGAGGGGCUUUGGAAUAAUCCUUUAGGCCCCUGCAAAAAUUGUUAGAAGAAAAUAAAUUGAUUUAGUAUUUUUAUUAAAUCAAAACAAAGGUCAGAAAAUAAAAAAGGAAACAGAAAAGGAAAAAAAACCUUACCUGGGCCUCCUACCUGACAGCCCAACGGCCCAGCAGGCCAGCCCAGCCAGCUGGCCGACGCCAGUCAUCCCUGACCUCUCACCGGGAGGACAGGGCGUGUGGCCGACGCGCGCGCGCCGCCGUGCCGCCACGCCACCUGCCUGGCUGGCCUCCCCCUCGUCGCCCUGGUCGCUCUGCGCGACGCCACGCACCGCCCCGCACCUCUCUCACUCUCUCUCACUCUCCCUCCUCCCCUGGAUCCCUCUCUCUUGACCCGCCCGAGCGCUGCCGUCGCCGCCGCUCGCCGUUGCCGUAGCCACCGACUUCCCCUCGCCCUCUCUCCGUGUCUGCAAGCUCCGCCACGUCUGCGUCUACCUCUCCGUCGAGCCACGCGCCUUAGGAGGCCCUGGAGCGCCUCCAUCGCUGUCGUCUUCAUCUCCGGCCGCCGUGGAUCCCCAUCGCCGCACCGUCGACCUCAGCGCGUCCCCGAGCUCAUUGACGACGUCUACGAUCUCCCAGUGAGCUCUACUUCGUUCUCCCCUCCUCCCUGUGCUCGUUUGCCCCGCCUAGCUAGCUCAGCUGCCGCGCCCGAGACCUCAUUGCCGCCGGCCAUGGCGCCACCGUGGCCAGAGGCCGAGCCAGCCGCUCCCGCGCGCGUCACCAUGCUCUUGGUGACGCUAGGAGGCCGUAGAGGGCCUCCGCAGUCCCUGCCGUGCCCCGCAGCCCGUUUUCACCCGGAGCCGUGCUCCGGCCGCCGCCUCGAGCUCGUUUCCGGCGAGCUCAGGCACCCCCGCAGCCUCCUGCUUGCUCCAAACAACGCGGACGAGCUCCAGCUCCUCGUCCGUGAUCUCCGCCGCCUAAAUGGUCGCCGGAGGGCGUUUCCCGAGCCCUCCGCCGUGUUCGGCCUCGCCGGCGGUUAAACGCCGGUGGGGUUUGACCCCUUUGACCUCGCGGGCCCGUCAGGUGGGCCCCAUGGGUCAAGUGAUUAGCUUAAGGCUAAUCACCAUUUAACUAAACCUGACACUGACAGUGGGCCCCAGCGCCACUAAUCCUAUAAUUAGGAUAAACUAACCCCCUGUUAACUAACUGGUCACUGACGUGUGGACCCCACACAUCAGGUUUGACCUGGUCAGCUCCGUUGACCUGCUGACGCAGGCAUGACGCAAUGCGGAUGCAAUAUUUCAUUUUUUGGUUUAAAAUUAAUCAGGAAAUUCUAGAAAAUGUUCAGAACUUCAAAAAUUCAUAGAAAUUCAACUGUAGCUCAGAUUGAAAUAAUUUAUAUAUGAAAAAUUAUUAGAAAAAUUCAAUCUAUCCAUCUGUACCACUUUCAUGCAUGUUCAACCAACUUAUACCACUGUAUAAGUGAAAACAUGAUAAUGGCAUUUUAAAUGCUAAAUAUGGAGUGCAUAUGAACCCUUGGUCCAUAUGGACUUCAUUUAAAUGGUUGCUAGAUGCAUUAUUGCAAUCAUAACAUCAUUACCAUGUUCAUGCAUCAUAAUGUUGCAUAUGCUUGUGUUUUGAUUUCCGACACCGUUCCUUCUCGAUAGGUCCUGCUCCGGAGAGUGUUUGAGAGUACCUGUCUGAGGAGCAGUGCCCCCUGUUGAUCUACCAGGCAAGCAACCCCCCUUGUUCAUUCCGAUACAAUCCCACUCUCUCGUUCUUGCUCUCCUUUAUUGCAUUAGGACAACAACGAUUCAACUACUACUUUAUGCUGCGGUAGCUGAACCCAUUCCUCUGCAUGACCUGUCAUUGCCAUAGUAAAUAGUUAAAAACCCACUAGCAUGUGUAGGAGUUGCUUGAGCCAUGUUGUGUUCUUGACAUGCCAUGCCUGCUAUUGCUUAGAGUAUGUCAGGUCUGAUUCAUUGGGAAUGAAUUGGAGUACAGUGUUAUGUUCUGAUGUUGAGAGUUAAGCGUGUGAACACGAUUUGGUAAAGGUAGCGGUGAGAGGCCAUGUAGGAGUACAUGGUGGGUUGUCUCACUGGAACCGUCCCUAAGAACUGAGUUCUGUGUAUGUUGUCCAAGGACUAGCUACUACCACAUAUUGGGUUCCGGUAACUCGACCCCUCUCGACUUAUUAGCCAACUUGAUCUCUGUCCAGGAGUUGCAAAUAGUUUCUGGUGUUUAUAGGUAGUGCUAUUUUUCUACCGAGUGGCACCCGGCAGGGUGGACUUGGGACAGACUAGGCACACGUGGCCCAGUGUAUUGAGUGGCACCCGAAUGGUGGGCUCGGGAACCCUGUACACAUCGUUUGGGGCCGUGAGCGAAACCCCGGCCGGAUCUCCUUGCGAAUGGAACCCGAAUAGGCGAUAAACCUGGAUUAGAGUCCGGUUUGGUUAGUCAGGUCGUGGCCGACACCCUCGCCAGGCCUCCGCUUGAAGGUUGCCGAGAUACAUGAUGUGUAUAUGGUGAUAAGUGGUGAGAGCGUGUAUGAAGAAGUACACCCCUUCAGGGUUAACAUGAUCUAUUCGAAUAGCCGUGUCCUCGGUUAUGGACUUCUUGGAUGCUUACAUGGUACAUAGAAAACUUAAAGUGUAUACUCUAAAAUGCUCAAGACAAGUGUGAGUGAUAUGGAUGGCCUUCUCGUGGAGAGACGGGGAUGAAUCCAUAGUAGUGUAUUGAUGUGGUGAUUAGUGGACUCGUGUGCGCUGCCUCAUCUCAAAGAAGUUUCUCAUUGUCGUAGAACAGGAUAGCCACUGAGUCAAAGCUAGCUUGCUGCAACUAAACCCCACAUUACCUUCUUGAUACAAAUGCAUGUAUGAUAGGAUCUGAUGUAAGUCUUGCUGAGUACCUUUGUACUCACGUUUGCUUUAUUUAUGUUUAAGAUGAGACAUCUGUCUCACUAGUAGUACCGCUUGGACUUCGACGAGUAGCUUGUUACCUCAGCUACGAUCUUGUACCCUUGGGAGGGACUUGUAGAUAGUCAGGCUUUCCAGCCUUUUUAUUUUGUAGUUGUUUGUACUCAGACAUGUAAUGCUUCUGUUGCUUGUAUGCUCUGAAUGAUGGGUCAUGUGACCCCUGUUUGUAUUUAAUGCUAUGUGGCUCUUCUGGGCCUUUAUCUAUAUGAGUUUGCGUUAUGUUGUGAUGCCAUGUUUUACAGCACAUACUUGCAUGUUAUGCGUACGUGUGACGUGUAUUGAUAUGUGUGGGAUCCGACAAUCUAGUUGUUUAUCCUUGGCAGCCUCUCUUAUGGGGAAAUGUAGUCUAGUGCUUCCUUGAGCCAUAGUAGUCCGCUACAGCCCGGUUCACCGGAGUCCUGCUAGCCCAGCACUACUGCUCAGGACACUUGACUGGCCGGCAUGUGUUUCACUUCGUUCCUGUGUCUGUCCCUUCGGGGAAAUGUCACGCGGUGACAUCCGAAGUCCUGUUAUCCCAAUGCUACAGCCCGGAUUCACACGCUGCUGACCGACACGCUCGAUGUGAAUCAUGUAUGCCUGUCCCCAUAGGUUAGUGCCGCUUUGGGUUCACGACUAGCCAUGUCAGCCCGGGUUCUCUGUCAUAUGGAUGCUAGCGAUACUAUCAUAUACGUGAGUCAAAAGGCGCAAAUGGUCCCGGGCCAUGGUAAGGCGACACCCGUGGGAAUACCAUGCGUGAGGCCGCAAAGUGAUAUGAGGUGUUACAUGCUAGAUCGGUGUGACUUGGAAUCGGGGUCCCGACAGCUUUGGUAUCAGAGCCUGACUACCUAUAGGAUUACCAAGCCAACCUGGUCGAAGUUGAGUCUAGAAAUUCUUUAGCUAUAUAGGGGAAUUGAUUGUGGAAGGGAACGUAAGGCUCUUUUUACUCUUUAUGCCUCAUGCCUUCUGAUCUGAGUCAUACUAUCUUUCCUACGGGGUUAAGGAACUAGGCUUUCUCUUCCGUCUAUCAGGAUCACGUGUUCCUACUCCGUAGUCUCUAAGGUUUGGUUGAUCUGAGUCAUAUCCCAGUUUGAGUACCUUCGGUGUAGCCUGUUUAGCAAUAUCCCAGAACCUUGAGUGAUGAUGUUGAGUAUGGUGCUACCCCGUCUUUGGCAGAAUGUCUCAUUUCUAGCAUUUCGCUGCCGUUAUGCUGCCGAAAUUGUUCUAGGAGUUCAAGAGAUAGUAUUUUUCCUCAUACUAUAUUCUACAUCCUUAUGAUGAUGCUGAAUCCAUCCUUGUUUUCUUGGUUGGUUCUUCAGGAUGUCGUCAGUUAACCGAAGUUCUGUUGCUCAUAGCCAAAACCACGGAGAUGGUAAGGAUGAGGAUCCUCCCGACCUGCCUUCAUUGGCAGAGUUCAUGUUAGAGAUGGAGAAGAACAAGCGAGAGUCUAACCGCUUGUUGGCACGUAUUGAGGAGAACACCUCCCAUCAGCACAAAGAGUCAGUGUCCAUCUAUGAUUUCAUUGGUCUGAAACCACCUACCUUCCAUCAUUCCAUCGAACCACUCGAUGCAGAUGACUGGCUCCGUAGUAUCACACACAAGCUGCGUUCAGCGAACGUAGCUGAAAGUAACAAGGUCACCUAUGCUGCUUAUCAUCUGGAAGGUCCUGCUAGUAUUUGGUGGCAGAACUAUGAGGCUAUGCUUCCAGCUGGCCAGAAAACCACCUGGAGAGAUUUCACUAAGGCUUUUCGCGAGCAUCACAUCCCUCUGGCUCUCAUCGACCGCAAGAGAGAAGAGUUUUGUAGUUUCACCCAGAGUAAGAUGGCUGUUGAUGCUUAUAGUAGAGAAUUUGAGAACCUUGCCUGCUAUGCUAUAGAAGAAUUGUCCACAGACGCCAAGAAGCAGGCUAGGUUCCGGAAGGGUCUCAACCCCAAGUUGCAUCGUGAUCUCCACUUGCAUCAUUGCAAUACCUUCCAGGCUCUUGUGAACAAGGCCAUUAAUGCAGAGACAGCUCAACUCACAUAUGAGGAGUCACGUAAGCACACCCGUGAUUUGGGUUCUUCUUCCGGUUCUACUUUGCAAAAGCGUCGGAUUUGGGUUCCGAACUCCGCUCUUCCACCCGGUUAUACACCAAGGCCAUCUUGUGUGGCACCUCACCCAGUUCAGCAGUAUGCUCCACCCAGGCCUAUUGGUAGACCGCUUGUCAAAGCGGGUCCACGUCCUACUUCAGGAACUUGUUUCACAUGCGGAGAGCCAGGACACUAUGCACGUGACUGCUCUCAAACCAACUAUGCUCCACCCCAGCCUGAGGAGUCUGAUGGCCGUGGUAAGCCAUCACGCAAGAUGAUUAGUGUCAAGUCAGAUCCCACUGAAUGUGGAUGUGUGCAUCACGUCUCAGCUAGAGACGCUCAUGAUGAUCCGGAUGUCGUUCUUGGUACACUCCUUGUCAACUGUCAUCCAGCUUCGGUUCUGUUCGAUACCGGAGCAUCUCACUCCUUCAUCUCUGAAGGCUAUGCUCGUUUGCACGACAUGUCAUUUUGUGAUAUGCCAACUCCACUUGAAAUCCAAACUCCAGGGUCUAGAUGGCAAACUACCAGAAUAAGCCACGGUAAUGAAAUCCUUGUUGACAGACUUGUAUUCCUCGCAUCACUUAUAGCCCUCAAAUCUACAAAUAUUAACAUCAUCUUGGGUAUGGACUGGAUGAAAGCUCAUUAUGCCAAGAUUGAUUGUUACACAAGGUCUGUUCAGCUUACACACCCAUCUGGCAAGAUAGUCACCGUCUCCACUAGAGUUGCAAAGCGUCAGCUCUAUUCUCUUAAUGCCAACCCUCUUCCAGACCUUGAAGAUAUUCCGGUAGUCUGUGACUUUCCGGAUGUCUUUCCAGAGGAACUGCCAGGUAUUCCACCUGACAGAGAUGUAGAAUUUGUCAUAGAUCUUAUCCUAGGAACCACUCCUAUCUCUAGGAGACCUUACAAGAUGGCACCCUUAGAACUAGCUGAGCUUAAGAAACAACUCGAUGAAUCCUUGCAAAAGGGUUUCAUCCGUCCUAGUUCUUCUCCCUGGGCUUGCCCCGUCCUCUUCGUCAAGAAGAAGGAUGGUACGGACCGGAUGGUUGUAGAUCAUCGUCCCGUUAAUUUGGUCACGAUAAAGAAGAAGUAUCCGCUCCCCAGGAUCAAUGACCUGUAUGAUCAGCUUGCUGGAUCCUAGUCUUUUCCAAGAUGUAUUUGAGGUUAGGCUAUCACCAAAUCAAGAUCAGAAAUGGGGACAUUCCUAAGACGGCUUUUGUCACUCGUUAUGGCCAGUACGAGUACACCGUCAUGUCCUUUGGUCUAACCAAUGCUCCAGCUACAUUAUCUCACUUGAUGAACUCAUUCUUCAUGGAGUACUUAGAUAAGUUCAUCGUGGUUUACCUCGAUGAUAUUCUUAUUUACUCGAAGAACAAGGAAGAUCACGCCGAACACCUUAGACUUGUGCUAGAAAAACUCAGAGAGCACCGCCUUUAUGCCAAGUUCUCCAAGUGCGAGUUUUGGUUGCCAGAAGUGACCUACCUAGGCCACGUGAUCUCGGGUAAGGGCAUUGCCGUCAAUCCCGAGAGAGUUCAGGCCGUUCUUGAUUGGACUCCGCCUGAAACAGUUAAGCAAGUUAGGAGUUUCCUUGGUCUAGACAGUUAUUGUCGCUGAUUCGUUGAGAACUUCUCCAAAGUGGCCAAACCUCUCGCGGAACUUCUCAAGAAAGAUAAAAAGUUUGAGUGGUCCCCACAGUGUGAGCACAAUUUUCAGGAACUAGAAAGACGCCUGACUUCUGCUCCCAUACUUGUGCCACCGGAUUUCACUAAGGACUUUGUUAUCUACUGCGACGCCUCACGACAGGGACUAGGUUGCAUUCUUAUGCAAGAUCGCCAUGUGAUUGCCUAUGCAUCUCGACAGUUGCAUCCACAUGAGGAGAAUUAUCCUACACAUGAUCUAGAGCUUGCAGCCGUAGUCUAUGCACUUAAGACCUGGCGACAUUACCUUCUCGGUAAACGUUGCGAGAUUUACACCGAUCACCAGAGCCUCAAGUAUAUCUUCACCCAACCAGAUUUGAACCUUAGGCAAAGACGUUGGUUGGAGUUGAUCUCAGAUUACGACUUAGGGAUUACCUACACCCCAGGCAAGGGAAAUGUCGUGGCUGAUGCACUAAGUCGUAAGUCCUAUUGUAACAAUCUCAUGUUGCAGCAGGGCCAACCACUUCUUCAUGAGGAAUUCUGUAAGCUUAACCUUCACAUUGCUCCUCAUGGAUUCCUUUCUACCUUGGUGGCGAAACCUACUCUUGUGGAUCAUAUCAUAGAAGCCCAAAAGCAUGAUACGGGGAUUACCCGGAUCAAGAGAAACAUUGCUAAGGGCAUUGCUGGUAGUUUCUCUAUAGAUGAUCGAGGUGUUGUUUUCUUCGGGAAUCGCCUGGUGGUCCCCAAGAAGUAGCAUCUUCGGCAAUUAAUCCUUAAGGAGGCUCAUGAAUCUCCUCUCAUGAUUCAUCCCGGUAGUACUAAGAUGUAUCAGGACCUACGCCAUAGGUUCUGGUGGACUAGGAUGAAGAGAGAAAUCGCUUAGUUUGUUGCUAACUGUGAUGUUUGUCGUCGCGUGAAGGCAGAGCAUCAGAGACCUGCUGGCACCAUUCAGCCUUUAGCUAUUCCUGAAUGGAAAUGGGAUAAAGUUGGUAUGGACUUCAUCACCGGCUUUCCCAGGACCAAGGAAGGGAAUAAUGCUAUCUUCGUAGUCAUUGAUUGUCUUUCCAAAGUGGCUCACUUCCUACCUGUUCGAGAGAGUAUCACUGCUAGUCAACUCGCUGACUUAUAUGUCUCUCGAAUAGUGUCACUUCAUGGUGUUCCACUAGAGAUCAAUUCAGAAUGUGGUAGUCUUUUCACUUCUCAUUUCUGGGAGAGUUUCCAAACUGCCAUGGGCACCCAUCUUUCCUUCAGUACCGCUUUCCACCCUCAAUCAAGUGGUCAGGUGGAAAGGGUCAACCAGAUUCUCGAAGACAUGCUUAGAGCUUGUGUUAUCUCAUUCGGUAUGGAUUGGGAGAAGUGUCUUCCCUUUGCCGAGUUUGCUUAUAACAAUAGCUACAAAUCCAGCCUCAAGAAAGCUCCUUUUGAGGUUCUGUAUGGACGAAGAUGUCGAACACCUUUGAACUGGUCAGAAACUGGUGAAAGACAAUUCUUUGGACCGGAUAUGAUCCAGGAGGCAGAAGAGCAAGUUUGCAUCAUUCGUGAGAAUUUGAAAAUAGCCCAAUCUCGUCAAAAGAGCCAGUAUGACCGUAGUCAUAAGGAAGUGGCUUAUGAAGUUGGCGAGAAAGCUUACCUUUGGGUUACCCCUUUGAAGGGUACCCAUCGAUUCAGUAUCAAGGGCAAGUUGGCUCCUCGUUACAUUGGUCCCUUUCUCAUUCUCGCUAAACUAGGAGAGGUUGCCUACUAGUUGGAACUACCCCCACAUCUUUCUCGAGUUCAUGAUGUUUUCCAUGUCUCUCAACUCAGGCGUUGCUUCUCGGAUCCCAUCCGCGGAGUGGACCACGAAACACUUGAUCUGCAAGAAAUCCUCACUUAUCGAGAGUACCCCGUCCGCAUUCCGGAUCAAGCAGAGCGUGUCACUCGACGUCAUAACAUCAAGUUUGUCAAGGUUCAGUGGUCUCAUCAUUCCGAGAGAGAAGCUACUUGGGAGCGAGAAGAUCGUCUUCGACUUGAGUACCCCACUUUCUUUCUGCCAACUCCUGAAUCUCGGGACGAGAUCCUUCCGAGUGGGGGCGAGUUGUCACAUCCCUAGUUCUGGUAUGACCUAGGCUAGCCUUCAUGUUUGCAUCAUGUUUAAAUUUCAUUUAAAUUUGAAAUGGGGAUUUGUAAAACCCUCAGAAAUCAUUUAUGGAAAUGACCCAAAUAAAAAUUGCUCCAAAAGGGUCCAAGAAAAUGUUCAUGUCUCUCUCUGAAAAUAUUGGGAAGAGGUAAAAUUCAAACCAAUAUUUUUAGGAGCUCAUAAAUAUUUAUUUUGGCCAUUUGGAAUUAAUCCAGUAAUUAUUUGCGUUGGAUAAAUAUUUAUAUAUAUAUAUAUAAUAUUGUCCAAUAAUUCUGAAUUUUUGUGAGGGGCUUUGGAAUAAUCCUUUAGGCCCCUGCAAAAAUUGUCAGAAGAAAAUAAAUUGAUUUAGUAUUUUUAUUAAAUCAAAACAAAGGUCAAAAAAUAAAAAAGGAAACAGAAAAGGAAAAAAAACCUUACCUGGCCUCCUACCUGACAGCCCAACGGCCCAGCAGGCCAGCCCAGCCAGCUGGCCGACGCCAAUCGUCCCUGACCUCUCGCCAGGAGAACAGGGCGGUGGCCGAUGCGCGCGCGCCGCCGUGCCGCCACGCCACCUGCCUGGCUGGCCUCUCCCUCAUCGCCCUGGUCACUUUGCGCGACGCCACGCACCGCCCCGCACCUCUCUCACUCUCUCUCACUCUCCCUCCUCCCCUGGAUCCCUCUCUCUUGACCCGCCCGAGCGCUGCCGUCGCCGCCGCUCGCCGUUGCCGUAGCCAUCGACUUCCCCUCGCCCUCUCUCUGUGUCUGCAAGCUCUGCCACGUCUGCGUCUACCUCUUCGUCGAGCCACGCGCCUCGGGAGGCCCUGGAGCGCCUCCAUCGCUGUCGUCUUCAUCUCCGACCGCUGUGGAUCCCCAUCGUCGCACCGUCGACCUCAGCGCGUCCCCGAGCUCGCUGACGACGUCUACGAUCUCCCCGUGAGCUCUACUUCGUUCUCCCCUCCUUCCCGUGCUCGUUUGCCCCGCCUAGCUAGCUCAGCUGCCGCGCCCGAGACCUCAUCGCUGCCGGCCAUGGUGCCACCAUGGACGGAGGCCGAGCCAGCCACUCCCGCGUGUCACCGUGCUCCUGGUGACGCCAGGAGGCCGUAGAGGGCCUCCGCAGUUCCUGCCGUGCCCCGCAGCCCGUUUUCGCCCGGAGCCGUGCUCCGACCGCCGCCUCGAACUCGUUUCUGGCGAGCUCAGGCACCCCCGCAGCCUCUCGCUUGCUCCAAAUGGUGCGGGCGAGCUCCAGCUCCUCGUCUGUGAUCUCCACCGCCUAAAUGGUCGCCGGAGGGCGUUUCCCGAGCCCUCCACCGUGUUCGGCCUCGCCGACGGUUAAACGUCGGUGGGGUUUGACCCCUUUGACCUCGCGGGCCCGUCAUGUGGGCCCCAUGGGUCAAGUGAUUAGCUUAAGGCUAAUCAACAUUUAACAAAACCUGACACUGACAGUGGGCCCCAGCGCCACUAAUCCUAUAAUUAGGAUAAACUAACCCCCUAUUAACUAACCGGUCACUGACGUGUGGACCCCACACAUCAGGUUUGACCUGGUCAGCUCCGUUGACCUGCUGACGCGGGCAUGACGCAAUGCUCAUGCAAUAUUUCAUUUUUUGGUUUAAAAUUAAUCAGGAAAUUCCAGAAAAUGUUCAAAACUUCAAAAAUUCAUAGAAAUUCAACUGUAGCUCAUAUUGAAAUAAUUUAUAUAUGAAAAAUUAUCAGAAAAAUUCAAUCUAUCCAUCUGUACCACUUUCAUGCAUGUUCAACCAACUUAUACCACUGUAUAAGUGAAAACAUGAUAAUGGCAUUUUAAAUGCUAAAUAUGGAGUGCAUAUGAACCCUUGGUCCAUAUGGACUUCAUUUAAAUGGUUGCUAGAUGCAUUAUUGCAAUCAUAACAUCAUUACCAUGUUCAUGCAUCAUAAUGUUGCAUAUGCUUGUGUUUUGAUUUCCGACACCGUUCCUUCUCGAUAGGUCCUGCUCCGGAGAGUGUUCGAGAGUACCUGUCUGAGGAGCAGUGCCCCCUUGUUGAUCUACCAGGCAAGCAACCCCCCUUGUUCAUUCCGAUACAAUCCCACUCUCUCAUUCUUGCGCUCCUUUAUUGAAUUAGGACAACAACGAUUCAACUGCUACUUUAUGCUGCGGUAGUUGAACCCAUUCCUCUGCAUGACCUGUCAUUGCCACAGUAAAUAGUUAAAACCCACUAGCAUGUGUAGGAGUUGCUUGAGCCAUGUUGUGUUCUUGCCAUGCCAUGCCUGCUAUUGCUUAGAGUAUGUCAGGUCUGAUUCAUUGGGAAUGAAUUGGAGUACAGUGUUAUGUUCUGAUGUUGAUAGUUAAGCGUGUGAACACGAUUUGGUAAAGGUAGCGGUGAGAGGCCAUGUAGGAGUACAUGGUGGAUUGUCUCACUGGAACCGUCCCUAAGAACUGAGGUUCUGUGUAUGUUGUCCAAGGACUAGCUACUACCACAUAUUGGGUUCCGGUAACUCGACCCCUCUCGACUUAUUAGCCAACUUGAUCUCUGUCCAGGAGUUGCAAAUAGUUUCUGGUGUUUAUAGGUAGUGUUAUUUUUCUACCGAGUGGCACCCAGCAGGGUGGACUUGGGACAGACUAGGCACACGUGGCCCAGUGUACUGAGUGGCACCCGAAUGGUGGGCUCGGGAACCCUGUACACAUCGUUUGGGGCCGUGAGCGAAACCCCGGCCGGAUCUCCUUGCGAAUGGAACCUGAAUAGGCGAUAAACCUGGAUUAGAGUCCGGUUUGGUUAGUCAGGUCGUGGCCGACACCCUCGCCAGGCCUCCUCUUGAAGGUUGCCGAGAUACAUGACGUGUAUAUGGUGAUAAGUGGUGAGAGCGUGUGUGAAGAAGUACACCCCUGCAGGGUUAACAUGAUCUAUUUGAAUAGCCGUGUCCUCGGUUAUGGACUUCUUGGAUGCUUACGUGGUACAUAGAAAACUUAAAGUGGAUACUCUAAAAUGCUCAAGAUAAGUGUGAGUGCUACAGAUGGCCUUCCCGUGGAGAGACGGGGAUGAAUCCAUAGUAGUGUAUUGAUGUGGUGAUUAGUGGACUCGUGUGCGCUGCCUCAUCUCAAAGAAGUUUCUCGUUGUCGUAGAACAGGAUAGCCACUGAGUCAAAGCUAGCUUGCUGCAACUAAACCCCACAUUACCUUCUUGAUACAAAUGCAUGUAUGAUAGGAUCUGAUGUAAGUCUUUCCGAGUACCUUUGUACUCACGUUUUCUUUAUUUAUGUUUUGCAGAUGAGACAUCUGUCUCACUAGUAGUACCGCUUGGACUUCGACGAGUAGCUUGUUACCUCAGCUAUGAUCUUGUACCCUUGGGAGGGACUUGUAGAUAGUCAGGCUUUCCAACCUUUUUCUUUUGUAGUUGUCUGUACUCAGACAUGUAAUGCUUCCGUUGCUUGUAUGCUUUGAAUGAUGGGUCAUGUGACCCCUGUUUGUAUUUAAUGCUAUGUGGCUCUUCUGGGCCUUUAUCUAUAUGAGUUUGCGUUAUGUUGUGAUGCCAUGUUUCUCAACACAUACUUGCAUGUUAUGCGUACGUGUGACAUGUAUUGCUAUGUGUGGGAUCCAACAAUCUAGUUGUUUAUCCUUGGCAGCCUCUCUUAUGGGGAAAUGUAGUCUAGUGCUUCCUUGAGCCAUAGUAGUCCGCUACAGCCCGGUUCACCGGAGUCCUGCUAGCCCAGCACUACUGCUCAGGACACUUGACUGGCCGGCAUGUGUUUCACUUCGUUCCUGUGUCUGUCCCUUCGGGGAAAUGUCACGCGGUGACAUCCGGAGUCCUGUUAGCCCAAUGCUAUAGCCCGAAUUCACACGCUGCUGACCGACACGCUCGAUGUGAAUCAUGUAUGCCUGUCCCCAUAGGUUAGUGCCGCUUUGGGUUCACGACUAGCCAUGUCGGCCCGGGUUCUCUGUCAUAUGGAUGCUAGCGAUACUAUCAUAUAUGUGAGCCAAAAGGCGCAAACGGUCCCGAGCCAUGGUAAGGCGACACCCGUGGGAAUACCGUGCGUGAGGCCGCAAAGUGAUAUGAGGUGUUACAUGCUAGAUCAGUGUGACUUGGAAUUGGGGUCCCGACAGGUAUGGAAUCAACAUUUGACUUCGAAGCAACUUGAAUACCACAAAUAAAAGAAAACAAAGGAUUGGCUUGCAGAAUAAGCCGGAAUAAACAUAUGAUAGAGAUUUCGUCCGAAGUUUUCGUGGUGGGGCCUACACGGGCUUAAUCGUACAACACCAUCAUGUACAAGGCAGUGCACAUGACAUACGAAGCGUCCCCGAGUCAGCAUAGCCAAGGACUCUUUAAGACACAACGAGACCACUGUAAAACCAACCGUGGAUAGGCGGACCACUAGACGUCGAACCCCAAUUUCAUAUGAUACAUCUGUUGGAAAGAUAUCCUAAGAGCUACUUGAAUUCCCACUUAUAAACUCCCGAAACUUUUCGGUUAUGCAAUCAGGUGUUGGGGAUACAGGGGAAGCAUAAUAUCUCACCCAAAACUACACAAAUCCUACAUCCAGCUGUAUCCAUCCUUCAACACAUAACCAAGAAACCUUCGGAAAUCAUUUACCUCAACCUUCGAAAAGCAUCCAUUAUACGAGUUAUGGAGAUACUCCCGAACUCCCGCCCCAGUACUGGGUGGCGUCGAGGUUAUCUCACCAACAACUGCAUAAAAGAUAUUUUCGAUGUCGGUGAAAAACUCAGGUAUUCCAGAACUGCAACGAUAAAAUUGUGACGACAACACCUUGGAGCUCAACUCCCUGGGACACUGCCACAACCCCUAAAUGUCAGGAGGCACCAAGAGCAAUGUUCUCGUCACAAAACCAUCGGAACGAUUCCAAGAUACCCGCGUGAUCCUAAAUUUUUUUAGUGAAAUUUGAGAAGAGAAGAGUCAAAACUGUACGUCAGGAUGCCUCACCAGAGCGACGAAGGGACUGAGGAGUAAAAAUAAUCCUACUCUCCGAUAUAUAUAAUCCUAAAUGACUCAAAACAUUUUUUCUAGACUCAGUAAUGCCAGCAAUUCGAUCAAGCAGGGGGCUCCUAAAGUCGGGGAAGGCUCUGAUUACCAACUUGUAACGCCCACGAUGCGGCUAUAUCUCCCACGUGCCGGAGCACGACUUAGAGGCAUAACCGCAUUGUAGACAUGUCGCAAGUGAGGUAAUCUUCACACAAACCAUGUAAUACAUAAGGGAAAGAGAUACAUAGUUGGCUUACAAUCGCAACUUCACACAAUAACAUAAAUAAAUCAUUACAUUAACCAGAUACAAUCAAGGUCCGACUACGGAACCAAAAUAAAAGAAGACUACCCCAAAUGCUACACAGAUCACCGAUCGUCCCAACUGGGCUCCACUACUGAUCAACUGAAACAAAACAACACUA